This 254-nucleotide ribosomal RNA is filed under the name uncultured bacterium. RNAcentral's name for it is "partial 16S ribosomal RNA". It matches the Rfam family "Bacterial small subunit ribosomal RNA", at positions 524 to 776 of the family's 1533-position model. The record is from RNAcentral.
CACGUAGGCACCAAGCGUUGUCCGGAUUUAUUGGGCGUAAAGAGCUCGUAGGCGGUUCAGUAAGUCGGGUGUGAAAACUCUGGGCUUAACCCAGAGCCGCCACCCGAUACUGCUGUGACUAGAGUCCGGUAGGGGAGUGGGGAAUUCCUAGUGUAGCGGUGAAAUGCGCAGAUAUUAGGAGGAACACCGGUGGCGAAGGCGCCACUCUGGGCCGGAACUGACGCUGAGGAGCGAGAGCGUGGGUAGCAAACAGG